This is a non-coding RNA of Ixodes scapularis (black-legged tick), 74 nucleotides long. The record is from the annotation of a RefSeq genome assembly. Lineage: Eukaryota; Metazoa; Arthropoda; Arachnida; Ixodida; Ixodidae.
UCUCCAGUGGCGCAAUGGGUUAGCGCGCGGUACUUAUAAUGCCGAGGUUGUGAGUUCGAAUCUCACCUGGGGAA